GGCAUGUUGCCAGAGUGGUUAAUGGGUGAGACUUGAAUUUCUGUGAAAUUAAGCCAUCUCAUGACUUCGGUCGCGUAGGUUCAAAUCCUGCACAUGUCG
This 99-nucleotide transfer RNA is filed under the name Xylaria sp. FL1042. RNAcentral's name for it is "tRNA-Ser". It matches the Rfam family "tRNA". Rfam says of the family: Transfer RNA (tRNA) molecules are approximately 80 nucleotides in length. Lineage: Eukaryota; Fungi; Ascomycota; Sordariomycetes; Xylariales; Xylariaceae. The record is from RNAcentral.